AGUGAACGCUGGCGGUAGGCCUAACACAUGCAAGUCGAACGGCAGCACAGUAAGAUCUUGCUCUUACGGGUGGCGAGUGGCGGACGGGUGAGGAAUACAUCGGAAUCUACUUUUUCUUGGGGGAUAACGUAGGGAAACUUACGCUACUACCUCAUACGUCCUACGGCUUAAAUCAGUGGAUCUUCGGACCUUUCGCGUCUGAAUGAGCCGAUGUCGGAUUAGCUAGUUGGCUGGGUAAAGGCCCACCAAGGCAACGAUCCGUAGCUGGUCUGAGAGGAUGAUCAGCCACACUGGAACUGAGACACGGUCCAGACUCCUACGGGAGGCAGCAGUGGGGAAUAUUGGACAAUGGGCGAAAGCCUGAUCCAGCAAUACCGCGUGGGUGAAGAAGGCCUUCGGGUUGUAAAGCCCUUUUGUUGGGAAAGAAAAGCAGCAGAUUAAUCCACCGCUGUUCCGACGGUACCCAAAGAAUAAGCACCGGCUAACUUCGUG
This 492-nucleotide ribosomal RNA is filed under the name uncultured bacterium. RNAcentral describes it as "partial 16S ribosomal RNA". It matches the Rfam family "Bacterial small subunit ribosomal RNA", at positions 29 to 507 of the family's 1533-position model. The record is from RNAcentral.